AGAGAGUUUUAUUCUUGCUUUUUCGUUCAGUUUUUGUUUGUUUUAUAUGUAAGUUUGUGCGUGAUUUGUUGAUUGUUCUAGAUGAAUUAUUAAAGAGUUUGUAUUAUUCUCAUUAGUUAUUAUUGGUUGUUCAAGUAUUCUUGUAUCUAGCAAUGCAUUUUAGUUUCGGUUAAAUUUUGUGCCAGCAGCCGCGGUUAUACUUUGGAGGCAUUUGAUUGUGUUUGGUUUAUUGGUAGUUAUUUUUGAUGUUUGUGGACUUUCUUGUGAUUAUUUCGUUAGGUGGAAUUUUUAUUUUCUUAUUUGUCUUCUAUCUUUUUGGAAGCUAUGAAACUCUUUUUGUAGACUAGGAUUAGAUACCCUAUUAUUUAGAAUGUUAAUUGUUUUGAUACCUGAGUAGUAUUAGUUAUGUUCUUGAAACUUAAAGAAUUUGGCGGUAUCUCAUUCCGUCCAGAGGAAUCUGUCUCGUUAUCGAUAGUCCGCGUUGGACCUUACUUGGAUUGCUUUGCGGUUUGUAUACCGCCGUUUAUUGAUUAUCUUUUUAGAGUUGGGCAAAAUUUUCUGGUUUCUUUAUUUUGGUUUAUUUCAGGUCAAGGUGCAGCUUGUUUUUAAGUGGAUGAUGGAUUACAUUUUUAUUUGUUUUUGGAUUAUUGAUUUUAAUAUUGGUAUGAAAUUGGAUUUGGUUGUAAUGGUUUGUAGAUUGUUACUGUGAUAUGGGUUCUGGGAUAUGCACACAUCGCCCGUCGCUCUCGUUUGUUGUUAAUGAGAUAAGUCGUAACAGAGUGGUUGUACCGGAAGGUGCGGCUGGAUUGAU
This 811-nucleotide non-coding RNA is filed under the name Ophiotermes grandilabius. Lineage: Eukaryota; Metazoa; Arthropoda; Insecta; Blattodea; Termitidae. The record is from RNAcentral.